AACCUCCGCAAUGUGAGAAAUCGCGACGGGGGGAUCCCAAGUGCCAUUCUUAACGGGAUGGCUUUUCUUAAGUGUAAAAGCUUUUGGAAUAAGAGCUGGGCAAGACCGGUGCCAGCCGCCGCGGUAACACCGGCAGCUCUAGUGGUAGCUGUUUUUAUUGGGCCUAAAGCGUUCGUAGCCGGUUUGAUGAGUCACUGGUGAAAUCCUGUAGCUUAACUGUGGGAAUUGCUGGUGAUACUGUUGAACUUGAGGUCGGGAGAGGUUAGCGGUACUCCCAGGGUAGAGGUGAAAUUCUGUAAUCCUGGGAGGACCACCUGUGGCGAAGGCGGCUAACUGGAACGAACCUGACGGUGAGGGACGAAAGCUAGGGGCGCGAACCGGAUUAGAUACCCGGGUAGUCCUAGCCGUAAACGAUGCGGACUUGGUGUUGGGAUGGCUUUGAGCCGCUCCGGUGCCGAAGGGAAGCUGUUAAGUCCGCCGCCUGGGAGUACGGUCGCAAGACUGAACUUAAAGGAAUU
RNAcentral lists this ribosomal RNA (518 nucleotides) under uncultured bacterium. Its description in RNAcentral is "bacterial SSU rRNA". It matches the Rfam family "Archaeal small subunit ribosomal RNA", at positions 345 to 866 of the family's 1478-position model. The record is from RNAcentral.